UACGUAGGUGACAAGCGUUGUCCGGAUUUACUGGGCGUAAAGAGCGCGCAGGCGGUCGAUCAAGUCGAGUGUGAAAGCCCCCGGCUCAACUGGGGAGGGUCAUUCGAUACUGAUCGACUCGAAGGCAGGAGAGGGUAGUGGAAUUCCCGGUGUAGUGGUGAAAUGCGUAGAUAUCGGGAGGAACACCAGUGGCGAAGGCGACUACCUGGCCUGUUCUUGACGCUGAGGCACGAAAGCUAGGGGAGCAAACAGG
This 253-nucleotide ribosomal RNA is filed under the name uncultured bacterium. Its description in RNAcentral is "partial 16S ribosomal RNA". It matches the Rfam family "Bacterial small subunit ribosomal RNA", at positions 524 to 776 of the family's 1533-position model. The record is from RNAcentral.